RNAcentral lists this ribosomal RNA (597 nucleotides) under Salmonella enterica subsp. enterica serovar Infantis. RNAcentral describes it as "bacterial LSU rRNA". It matches the Rfam family "Bacterial large subunit ribosomal RNA", at positions 657 to 1251 of the family's 2925-position model. Lineage: Bacteria; Pseudomonadati; Pseudomonadota; Gammaproteobacteria; Enterobacterales; Enterobacteriaceae. The record is from RNAcentral.
AUAGGGGAGCCGGAGGGAAACCGAGUCUUAAUUGGGCGUUAAGUUGCAGGGUAUAGACCCGAAACCCGGUGAUCUAGCCAUGGGCAGGUUGAAGGUUGGGUAACACUAACUGGAGGACCGAACCGACUAAUGUUGAAAAAUUAGCGGAUGACCUGUGGCUGGGGGUGAAAGGCCAAUCAAACCGGGAGAUAGCUGGUUCUCCCCGAAAGCUAUUUAGGUAGCGCCUCGUGAAUUCAUCUCCGGGGGUAGAGCACUGUUUCGGCUAGGGGGCCAUCCCGGCUUACCAACCCGAUGCAAACUGCGAAUACCGGAGAAUGUUAUCACGGGAGACACACGGCGGGUGCUAACGUCCGUCGUGAAGAGGGAAACAACCCAGACCGCCAGCUAAGGUCCCAAAGUCAUGGUUAAGUGGGAAACGAUGUGGGAAGGCCCAGACAGCCAGGAUGUUGGCUUAGAAGCAGCCAUCAUUUAAAGAAAGCGUAAUAGCUCACUGGUCGAGUCGGCCUGCGCGGAAGAUGUAACGGGGCUAAACCAUGCACCGAAGCUGCGGCAGCGACACUCAGGUGUUGUUGGGUAGGGGAGCGUUCUGUAAGCCUG